RNAcentral lists this ribosomal RNA (1540 nucleotides) under Staphylococcus aureus F43252. RNAcentral describes it as "16S ribosomal RNA". It matches the Rfam family "Bacterial small subunit ribosomal RNA". The record is from RNAcentral. Lineage: Bacteria; Bacillati; Bacillota; Bacilli; Caryophanales; Staphylococcaceae.
AGAGUUUGAUCCUGGCUCAGGAUGAACGCUGGCGGCGUGCCUAAUACAUGCAAGUCGAGCGAACGGACGAGAAGCUUGCUUCUCUGAUGUUAGCGGCGGACGGGUGAGUAACACGUGGAUAACCUACCUAUAAGACUGGGAUAACUUCGGGAAACCGGAGCUAAUACCGGAUAAUAUUUUGAACCGCAUGGUUCAAAAGUAAAAGACGGUCUUGCUGUCACUUAUAGAUGGAUCCGCGCUGCAUUAGCUAGUUGGUAAGGUAACGGCUUACCAAGGCAACGAUGCAUAGCCGACCUGAGAGGGUGAUCGGCCACACUGGAACUGAGACACGGUCCAGACUCCUACGGGAGGCAGCAGUAGGGAAUCUUCCGCAAUGGGCGAAAGCCUGACGGAGCAACGCCGCGUGAGUGAUGAAGGUCUUCGGAUCGUAAAACUCUGUUAUUAGGGAAGAACAUAUGUGUAAGUAACUGUGCACAUCUUGACGGUACCUAAUCAGAAAGCCACGGCUAACUACGUGCCAGCAGCCGCGGUAAUACGUAGGUGGCAAGCGUUAUCCGGAAUUAUUGGGCGUAAAGCGCGCGUAGGCGGUUUUUUAAGUCUGAUGUGAAAGCCCACGGCUCAACCGUGGAGGGUCAUUGGAAACUGGAAAACUUGAGUGCAGAAGAGGAAAGUGGAAUUCCAUGUGUAGCGGUGAAAUGCGCAGAGAUAUGGAGGAACACCAGUGGCGAAGGCGACUUUCUGGUCUGUAACUGACGCUGAUGUGCGAAAGCGUGGGGAUCAAACAGGAUUAGAUACCCUGGUAGUCCACGCCGUAAACGAUGAGCGCUAAGUGUUAGGGGGUUUCCGCCCCUUAGUGCUGCAGCUAACGCAUUAAGCACUCCGCCUGGGGAGUACGACCGCAAGGUUGAAACUCAAAGGAAUUGACGGGGACCCGCACAAGCGGUGGAGCAUGUGGUUUAAUUCGAAGCAACGCGAAGAACCUUACCAAAUCUUGACAUCCUUUGACAACUCUAGAGAUAGAGCCUUCCCCUUCGGGGGACAAAGUGACAGGUGGUGCAUGGUUGUCGUCAGCUCGUGUCGUGAGAUGUUGGGUUAAGUCCCGCAACGAGCGCAACCCUUAAGCUUAGUUGCCAUCAUUAAGUUGGGCACUCUAAGUUGACUGCCGGUGACAAACCGGAGGAAGGUGGGGAUGACGUCAAAUCAUCAUGCCCCUUAUGAUUUGGGCUACACACGUGCUACAAUGGACAAUACAAAGGGCAGCGAAACCGCGAGGUCAAGCAAAUCCCAUAAAGUUGUUCUCAGUUCGGAUUGUAGUCUGCAACUCGACUACAUGAAGCUGGAAUCGCUAGUAAUCGUAGAUCAGCAUGCUACGGUGAAUACGUUCCCGGGUCUUGUACACACCGCCCGUCACACCACGAGAGUUUGUAACACCCGAAGCCGGUGGAGUAACCUUUUAGGAGCUAGCCGUCGAAGGUGGGACAAAUGAUUGGGGUGAAGUCGUAACAAGGUAGCCGUAUCGGAAGGUGCGGCUGGAUCACCU